This is a long non-coding RNA of Anguilla rostrata (American eel), 503 nucleotides long. RefSeq lists it as uncharacterized. The transcript has 3 exons. The record is from RefSeq and is a predicted model, not a curated record. Lineage: Eukaryota; Metazoa; Chordata; Actinopteri; Anguilliformes; Anguillidae.
CAAAUUCGAUUUUGCCUGUUGUUGCGUUCUAAAAUGCGCCACCUGAAAUUAUUACGAGCUGCAAGCUGGAGUGUGAAGCGUCGCAGCGAGGGGCGCUAUAGCAAGCCCCAACAGGACGAAGCGGUCUUUUUCGAUUUGUGCUUUCGUCUGCUCGGUCUUUCACAGCUGGCCUGGAUCGCCCCCUUGAGGACUCUGGUUUAUUACCUCCACAGGGACAUAAGACCUCACGUUGACCUGGAGUUGUGGGACUUGCAGCGCACUCUGACCACGUAGCUCCCCGGCGGCAGGUCCAGCAGCUCCAGCCGCGGCUCGCGCAGUACCCCCUUCACCUGCAGAGGGCGACACACAGACAGCGGUGCAUUUUACAGAAGGGCCUGAAACGAGAGACCCCACCUUCCAGUUGUGAGGCUCGGACUGGCGGCGGUACUGCAGCUCGAAGACGAGAGUCACCCAGCCCGAGUGCACGUCUUCGGCGUUUGGGUACAACCAGGACACCAUCGCCG